UGGGGAGUCGUACAAUGGCAGUACGCAAGACUCUGGAUCUUGUUAUCGGGGUUCGAAUCCCUGCUCCCCAG
Molecule: transfer RNA, 71 nt
Filed under: Caldifarciminota bacterium
Lineage: Bacteria; Pseudomonadati; Caldifarciminota
Also listed under: 2 other names
Description: tRNA-Gln
Rfam family: tRNA
About the family: Transfer RNA (tRNA) molecules are approximately 80 nucleotides in length.
Source: RNAcentral